GACGAACGCUGGCGGCGUGCUUAACACAUGCAAGUCGAACGCGCCUGUCCUCUGGGUUUCUGGGGGGUGGGUGAGUGGCGAACGGGUGAGUAACACGUGAGUAACCUGCCCCCUUCUUCGGGAUAACGGUCUGAAAGGGCUGCUAAUACCGGGUAUUCACUGGUCUCCGCAUGGGGUCUGGUGGAAAGGUUUUUUUCUGGUGGGGGAUGGGCUCGCGGCCUAUCAGCUUGUUGGUGGGGUGAUGGCCCACCAAGGCUUUGACGGGUAGCCGGCCUGAGAGGGUGACCGGUCACAUUGGGACUGAGAUACGGCCCAGACUCCUACGGGAGGCAGCAGUGGGGAAUAUUGCACAAUGGGCGCAAGCCUGAUGCAGCGACGCCGCGUGAGGGAUGGAGGCCUUCGGGUUGUGAACCUCUUUCGCCCGUGGUCAAGCCGCGACGUGGGUCGUGGUGAGGGUAGUGGGUAAAGAGGCGCCGGCUAACUACGUG
Molecule: ribosomal RNA, 488 nt
Filed under: uncultured bacterium
Lineage: Bacteria
Description: partial 16S ribosomal RNA
Rfam family: Bacterial small subunit ribosomal RNA
Source: RNAcentral